UACGUAGGGGGCAAGCGUUGUCCGGAAUCAUUGGGCGUAAAGAGCGCGUAGGCGGCCCUGUAAGUCCGCUGUGAAAGUCAAGGGCUCAACCCUUGAAUGCCGGUGGAUACUGCAGGGCUAGAGUCCGGAAGAGGCGAGUGGAAUUCCUGGUGUAGCGGUGGAAUGCGCAGAUAUCAGGAGGAACACCGGUGGCGAAGGCGGGUCUCUGGGCCGAUACUGACGCUGAGGAGCGAAAGCGUGGGGAGCGAACAGG
Molecule: ribosomal RNA, 253 nt
Filed under: uncultured bacterium
Lineage: Bacteria
Description: partial 16S ribosomal RNA
Rfam family: Bacterial small subunit ribosomal RNA
Source: RNAcentral